Molecule: non-coding RNA, 114 nt
Organism: Cricetulus griseus (Chinese hamster)
Lineage: Eukaryota; Metazoa; Chordata; Mammalia; Rodentia; Cricetidae
Source: RefSeq, a predicted model, not a curated record
AUACGUUCGCUUGGCUCCUGAUUAUGAUGCUCUGGAUGUUGCCAACAAAAUUGGGAUCAUCUAAACUGAAUCCAGCUGGCUAAUUCCAAAUAUACUCUUUUUCACCAUAAAUAA